GGAAGUAAAAAGUCGUAACAAGGUUUCCGUAGGUGGGCCUGCGGAAGGAUCAUUG
Molecule: ribosomal RNA, 55 nt
Filed under: Bertilia hantamensis
Lineage: Eukaryota; Viridiplantae; Streptophyta; Magnoliopsida; Asterales; Asteraceae
Description: partial 18S ribosomal RNA
Rfam family: Eukaryotic small subunit ribosomal RNA
Source: RNAcentral